GGCGGGGUAAAAGCCCACCAAGGCGACGAUCUGUAGCUGGUCUGAGAGGACGACCAGCCACACUGGAACUGGGACACGGUCCAGACUCCUACGGGAGGCAGCAGUGGGGAAUUUUGGACAAUGGGCGAAAGCCUGAUCCAGCAAUGCCGCGUGCAGGACGAAGGCCUUCGGGUUGUAAACUGCUUUUGUACGGAACGAAACGGUCUCCUUUAAUACGGGGGGCUAAUGACGGUACCGUAAGAAUAAGCACCGGCUAACUACGUGCCAGCAGCCGCGGUAAUACGUAGGGUGCGAGCGUUAAUCGGAAUUACUGGGCGUAAAGCGUGCGCAGGCGGUUAUAUAAGACAGAUGUGAAAUCCCCGGGCUCAACCUGGGACCUGCAUUUGUGACUGUAUAGCUAGAGUACGGUAGAGGGGGAUGGAAUUCCGCGUGUAGCAGUGAAAUGCGUAGAUAUGCGGAGGAACACCGAUGGCGAAGGCAAUCCCCUGGACCUGUACUGACGCUCAUGCA
RNAcentral lists this ribosomal RNA (510 nucleotides) under uncultured bacterium. RNAcentral's name for it is "bacterial SSU rRNA". It matches the Rfam family "Bacterial small subunit ribosomal RNA", at positions 251 to 753 of the family's 1533-position model. The record is from RNAcentral.